UACCCCGCUGGACCAGAACCAGCCUGCCGGGUC
This 33-nucleotide small RNA is filed under the name Bombyx mori (domestic silkworm). Its description in RNAcentral is "ovarian small RNA-20655". Lineage: Eukaryota; Metazoa; Arthropoda; Insecta; Lepidoptera; Bombycidae. The record is from RNAcentral.